RNAcentral lists this ribosomal RNA (329 nucleotides) under Salmonella enterica subsp. enterica serovar Cerro. Its description in RNAcentral is "bacterial LSU rRNA". It matches the Rfam family "Bacterial large subunit ribosomal RNA", at positions 454 to 783 of the family's 2925-position model. Lineage: Bacteria; Pseudomonadati; Pseudomonadota; Gammaproteobacteria; Enterobacterales; Enterobacteriaceae. The record is from RNAcentral.
CAUCCUCCAAGGCUAAAUACUCCUGACUGACCGAUAGUGAACCAGUACCGUGAGGGAAAGGCGAAAAGAACCCCGGCGAGGGGAGUGAAAAAGAACCUGAAACCGUGUACGUACAAGCAGUGGGAGCACAGGUUUACCUGUGUGACUGCGUACCUUUUGUAUAAUGGGUCAGCGACUUAUAUUCUGUAGCAAGGUUAACCGCAUAGGGGAGCCGGAGGGAAACCGAGUCUUAAUUGGGCGUUAAGUUGCAGGGUAUAGACCCGAAACCCGGUGAUCUAGCCAUGGGCAGGUUGAAGGUUGGGUAACACUAACUGGAGGACCGAACCGAC